GAUUUAAAAGCAGGUUCUACAAUAAGAAAUCAACUACUACAACUGUGAAAGAGGUGCUUAAAUUACAAACUACCAAUACUAACAACACCUCUCCUAUACACAAACAGUUAACAAAAGGUGCUACAGCACUAACAAAAGGUGCUACAACACCAACACUAACAAUUCAUUUGGUAUACACAAAUAGCUUUUUGCUAACUCCAUAAGACAGAGUUUUGCUAACUUCUCUGUCGUUGUCUCCAGUUGAGGCUUUUAGUUUAAUGAAAGUAUACAACCACAAAGUAUACAUCCUUCUUCAGCUGCAAACUUCAACUCUACAACCAACAAUCCAAGUUUGUCUAAGCUUGAAUUCAAUCGGGUCAACUAUGCUAAUUGAGUCACAACUCCAAGCCUACAAACCACAAAGCCAAAUAUUCAUCACACAUUCAGAACAGAAGAAAACAAAAAUUGAUAGAAAACUCAGAACAACAGAAGAACAUCCUUUGCAACUAACAUACAGAACGGAAGAACAAAAUAGAACUUACUAAUACUUUAACCGAAGCUAAACUGUCAUACUUUGUUAAGGCUUCUGACGAAGCUAAGCAGGUGGAGAAUCGAGAACGAACUAGAUAUAUGACACAUUUUCAGUUACUCGAAGAAGGAGAGAUUUUCGAAUGCGAGAAUGCUGUGACAGUGGGGGUAACAGGAGUUACGGGAGUUACGGGGAAGAUGAGCGGGGAAGAAGAAAGGGGAAUAGGAGAUGAGAGGGGAAUAGAAGAGAGGAAAAUAGAAUUACGGUUUAAUUUUGGGAUUUGUGAGUCAGCGUCAUUAAUUAAUGUGGCACACGCUGAGUGGGCAAAACACCGAGAAUAUUCCUACUCAUGCCACGUCGCUACCGUUUGUCGGAAUUUGACCGUUGGGACUAAAUUGAAAUAAUUUUAUAUAUGUUUGUCACAAAAUCGAUUCAAAUUAAAGUCUUGAUAUCAAAUUGAUAUAUAGUAUCACGGAUUGAUACCAGCUGAUCAAAUUACUCCAAAUUUUUGUCUCUAAUAUAAUAAUAUAAAUGAGCAUAGAACAUGCACUGCAGAUGGGCAAGCGCUGUCUGUCUACCUGCUGUCUCCUUCUUCCCGGAAUAUACAGGUAAACACAAAAAGAAAAAUAGUGGAAGAAGAUUCAAAGAAGAAUAUGAAUGGAAGUGGAGGCAGUAAUGCUACUGUUACAUACUGUGUUACUGGUGCAAAUGGGUAUAUAGGAUCUUGGUUGGUCAGGCUUCUUCUUCAGAGAGGCUACC
This 1267-nucleotide long non-coding RNA is filed under the name Ricinus communis (castor bean). Its description in RNAcentral is "long non-coding RNA (RCOM_LNC001527)". The record is from RNAcentral. Lineage: Eukaryota; Viridiplantae; Streptophyta; Magnoliopsida; Malpighiales; Euphorbiaceae.